AUCAAAAACAUAGCUUAAUGUGCUUUAUAUUAAGUUAGUUCUGCUCAGUGAUUAAGUUUAAACAGCCGCAGUACACUGACUGUGCUAAGGUAGCAUAAUAAGUUGGCUUAUAAUUGAAGUCUAGUAUGAACGAAAUUUAAUGGGUGGUAACUGUCUCUUUUUAAUUUACUAGAAUUUACUUAGAUGGUGAAAAUUCCAUCUUUUACAAGAAAGACGAGAAGACCCUUAGAAUUUUUAUUAUUUGUUUUUUGUCUAGCAUUUGUAUUAGCUGGGGCGGCUUUGUGUCAAACUUUAACACACAAUAAUUUUACUUAACAUAAAAUUUUUAAUUUAAGAGGUUAAUUACCUAAGGGAUAACAGCAUAAUCUUUUUUUUGGUUUGUGACCUCGAUGUUGGAUUAGGGCCUGUUUUGGUUAGCCGCCAAAGCAGAAAGUUCUGUUCGAACUUAGACACCUACAUGAUCUGAGU
This 468-nucleotide ribosomal RNA is filed under the name Euglandina rosea. RNAcentral's name for it is "partial 16S ribosomal RNA". It matches the Rfam family "Bacterial large subunit ribosomal RNA", at positions 1806 to 2610 of the family's 2925-position model. The record is from RNAcentral. Lineage: Eukaryota; Metazoa; Mollusca; Gastropoda; Stylommatophora; Spiraxidae.